GGAUUGUGACUCAGUGGUAGUGUGCUUGCCUAGCAUGUGUGAGGCACUGAGUUCAAUUCUGAGCACCA
RNAcentral lists this transfer RNA (68 nucleotides) under Marmota monax (woodchuck). Its description in RNAcentral is "tRNA.Ala". The record is from RNAcentral. Lineage: Eukaryota; Metazoa; Chordata; Mammalia; Rodentia; Sciuridae.